Daphnia magna is the source of this 449-nucleotide long non-coding RNA. RefSeq lists it as uncharacterized. NCBI's taxonomy places the organism in Eukaryota, Metazoa, Arthropoda, Branchiopoda, Diplostraca, Daphniidae. The transcript is spliced from 3 exons. The record is from RefSeq and is a predicted model, not a curated record.
CUUGGUCGGGCAUAGUUUUCUUCACAAAACUAGCCACUAUUCUUCCCCCUUACCAUCUUCCAGACUCGGAAUAGUUUGUGCAAGACGACUUUCUCAAUUACAACGUUGGCCUAUAAAGUCCUUGAAAUGCAAAGCAAUGCUGCUGCCAACAGCAGUUCAUAGUCUUUAUGACUUCGCUGUUUUUCCAUUGCAUAUGCAAAGCAACGCAUAGCUUCAAUCUUGCAAGUCGAUGUAACUGAAGAUUCCAUUAUUAACAUCUCUCGGCUUUUGAAAGGAUUUCCAAAUUUUUUUCCAUUAAAAGAAAUGCAGCGAUUAUUUUUUUAUUUCCUCUACGAUGUUUCAUUCUCGAUUCUUCUUCAAGGGUGGUCUUUUAAGAAAUCUGACAACUCCAUUUUGUAGCGUCUGUCUUCUGCUCUGUUGUCUCAUCAAGCGUCGUGUCUCGUGUGUCU